AUGGGCCGCAAGCGCCGCCAGCCGUCACCGCCGCCGCCUCCGCCUCCGGAGGAGGAUUCUUCCGCCGAGGAGUCCAGCUCCGCCGAGGAGGAGGAGGAGGAGGAGGAGGAGGCGGCGGAGGCCACCCCCGCGACCCAAAAUUCCCCCAAGCCCCCUUCCGCCGCCGCGGACGACGACGCCGAGGCCGACGCCGAUUCGUCGGACGGAAGCGACGAGGAGUCCUCCGAGUCAGGCAAGAUCGACGCCGAGGCCUUCGAGCUGCGCCAGAUCGCCUCCUCCAACCCGCCGCCGGCUGCGGCUUCCAAGCCCGAAUCCGACGACCAGGAGCCCACUCCGCCGGGCAAGGACAAGAAGAAGCGCAAGGCCGGGGCGGAGAAGGUGGCGCCUGAGCCCUCUCCGUCCGGCAAGGCCAAGAAGAAGGCACUCUCCGAGCUCACUCCUUCCAGCGAGGGGAAGAAGAAGCACAAGGCCCAGCCGGAGAAGACUGCGCCGUGGAACAAGCUUGAGAAACCUGGACAGCCCAGGCGCUGGACAGUCGAGGACGAGCUCAAGAUCCUGGAGGCUCUUGUUCGCCACGUCAAGGCCAAUGGCACCCAGCCGGGCGCUGGUGAGCUUAUUGCCGUGGUUGGUGGCAGCCUCGAGAGGAAGAACUGCACCAAGACGGAAAUGUAUGAGAAGGUGCGGAACAUCAGGCAGCGGUAUGAGAAAGCGGUGAGCACAGGCGCUCUGCCAGAGAAAGAUGAUGACCUCCGCAAGUUCAAGCUCUCGGAGCAAGUCUGGGGAGCAAAUGCAAAGCAGGUGGCUGCAGCCACCAUGGCUCAAAAUGAGGCUGCUUCCUUAAAGAGCAAGAAGAAGGGGCAGACUAGCAAGGAGAAAACAGAGGGCCAUUCAAAGGGUGGUGCAGCAAAGGAGGCAACCGCUAGCGCCGAUGAAACAGAGGGCUAUUCAAAGGGUGCUACAGCAAAGCAGGCCACCGAAGAGAAGGUAGAAGAAGAUGGCAAGGGCAGGUCAUCAAAGAAGGCCAGCACUGCUGAUACUCCUGCUAAGAGUAGAAAGCGGGGAAACCACAAUGAGGAAUUGGAAGGCGAUGCAAAAACUGCCACUACAAAGGAGACCGUGGAUACUACCACUCAAAAUGGUGGCACUUUGGUGAGGAGCAAGAGUGGAAAGUCUGACAAAGAGAAAGCGGAUGGAGAUGCUGAGAGCCCCACACCAACGGAGGAUAUGGCUGACGCUCAAAAUGGUGGCACCCUUGCUCUGUAUAAGACGGAAGGGGAAGCUCAUGAAGAGAAAAUGGACACAGAUGCUAAUGUGAAAGGCACGCGCAAAGGGUUUGAGGAAUUGCAGAAAUUGUACCCCAACCUUACCUCUUAUGUGGAGGACAUCCAGGCCCAGCAUCCAUGUGGGGAGACACUGAAGAGAGCAUUUGAGUUCAUUCCUGAUGAGAAGGCAUGUACUUUGGAAUCCAAGAUCAAGAAGCAAAGAGUAGCUGAGUUGAGGAUGGAGAUGCGCCGAUCUGACACAAAGAAGGAGGUGACCAACAUAUUCAUAGGAUUGCUGGACUAA
This 1566-nucleotide ribosomal RNA is filed under the name Triticum aestivum (bread wheat). RNAcentral's name for it is "partial small subunit ribosomal RNA". The record is from RNAcentral. Lineage: Eukaryota; Viridiplantae; Streptophyta; Magnoliopsida; Poales; Poaceae.